UACAGAGGGUGCGAGCGUUAAUCGGAAUUACUGGGCGUAAAGCGCGCGUAGGCGGCUUUUCAAGUCGAUUGUGAAAUCCCCGGGCUUAACCUGGGAACUGCAGUCGAGACUGUCUAGCUAGAGUAUGGGAGAGGGAAGUGGAAUUUCAGGUGUAGCGGUGAAAUGCGCAGAUAUCAGGAAGAACACCCGUGGCGAAGGCGGUUCUCUGGGACGGUACUGACGCUGAGACGCGAAAGCGUGGGGAGCGAACAGG
Molecule: ribosomal RNA, 253 nt
Filed under: uncultured bacterium
Lineage: Bacteria
Description: partial 16S ribosomal RNA
Rfam family: Bacterial small subunit ribosomal RNA
Source: RNAcentral